CCUACGGGAGGCAGCAGUGGGGAAUAUUGCACAAUGGGCGAAAGCCUGAUCCAGCAACGCCGCGUGAAGGAAGACGGGUUUCGGCUCGUUAACUUCUAUCAACAAGGACGUAAGAAAUGACGGUACCUCAAUAAUAAGCCCCGGCUAACUACGUGCCAGCAGCCGCGGUAAUCCGUAGGGGGCAAGAGUUAUUCGGAAUUACUGGGUGUAAAGGUUGAGUAGGCGGUAUGGUAAGCCAGAUGUGAAAGCCUUGGGCGUAACACGAGGAUUGCAUUUGGAACUAGCAAGCUAGAGUACAGGAGAGGAAAGCGGAAUUCCUAGUGUAGCGGUGAAAUGCGUAGAUAUUAGGAAGAACACCAGUGGCGAAGGCGGCUUUCUGGACUGAAACUGACGCUGAGGCACGAAAGCGUGGGGAGCGAACAGGAUUAGAUACCCCGGUAGUC
Molecule: ribosomal RNA, 443 nt
Filed under: uncultured bacterium
Lineage: Bacteria
Description: partial 16S ribosomal RNA
Rfam family: Bacterial small subunit ribosomal RNA
Source: RNAcentral